AGGCUCCGCUGUGCCUAACCCUAAUCGGGGGAAUUGAUGGUGCUGUCGCCGCGCUCCCUCCGCCCGCCCGCUGUUUUACUCGCUGACUUUCAGCGGGCGAGAGGAGCCGCCCCGGGGGGGGAGAGAAAGGGCCGAAAGGGGCUCCGCGGCCAAAAAACGUCAGCGAGGGGUCCGCUCGCCCCGAUCCGCCCUGGGGUCCCCGCUCGCGUGGCCGCGGUCGGCCGGCACCCGCCAUUGCCGCCGCGAAGAGUUCGCCUCUGUCAGCCUCGGCGGCGCGCGGGAGGUGCGGCGCGCGGCCCCGCGCCCCCAGCAGAGCAAACGGGAGCGGCGC
RNAcentral lists this telomerase RNA (331 nucleotides) under Gallus gallus (chicken). RNAcentral describes it as "partial telomerase RNA". It matches the Rfam family "Vertebrate telomerase RNA", at positions 19 to 380 of the family's 443-position model. From Rfam's summary of the family: Telomerase is a ribonucleoprotein reverse transcriptase that synthesises telomeric DNA. Lineage: Eukaryota; Metazoa; Chordata; Aves; Galliformes; Phasianidae. The record is from RNAcentral.